UACCUACGGGAGGCAGCAGUGGGGAAUAUUGCACAAUGGGGGAAACCCUGAUGCAGCGACGCCGCGUGAGUGAUGAAGUAUUUCGGUAUGUAAAGCUCUAUCAGCAGGAAAGAAAAUGACGGUACCUGACGAAGAAGCCCCGGCUAACUACGUACCAGCAGCGGCGGUAAUACGUAGGGGGCAAGCGUUAUCCGGAUUUACUGGGUGUAAAGGGAGCGUAGACGGCAGCGAAAGUCUGGAGGGAAAUGC
Molecule: ribosomal RNA, 249 nt
Filed under: uncultured bacterium
Lineage: Bacteria
Description: partial 16S ribosomal RNA
Rfam family: Bacterial small subunit ribosomal RNA
Source: RNAcentral